RNAcentral lists this ribosomal RNA (339 nucleotides) under Globorotalia inflata. RNAcentral's name for it is "bacterial SSU rRNA". It matches the Rfam family "Eukaryotic small subunit ribosomal RNA", at positions 1204 to 1395 of the family's 1831-position model. Lineage: Eukaryota; Foraminifera; Rotaliida; Globorotaliidae. The record is from RNAcentral.
CGCGGGAAAUCUUACCGGGUCCGGACACACUGAGGAUUGACAGGCAAUAUAUUAGCAUAAAGACUCGUCUUUAGCGCUAAUUGUUAAAUAUGCUAGUCCUUUCAUGAUUAUGUGAUAGGUGGUGCAUGGCCGUUCUUAGUUCGUGGAGUGAUCUGUCUGCUUAAUUGCGUUUCACUAAGGGCCCAUAAAUUCAAGGUAUGUUAGCAAAUGCUGCUCUAUUGACCCCUAAUAGGCUUAACNGUCUUUAGCGCGUGUCUCUACGAGUUCUUUAAAGCACUGCGCAUGCUGUUGGGUCCUGAAAGCAACGAACGUGACCGCAACGUCUUGUUGCCUCUCUAU